GAUCCACUGAGAUUCAGC
This 18-nucleotide small nuclear RNA is filed under the name Arabidopsis thaliana (thale cress). RNAcentral describes it as "snRNA_17225". Lineage: Eukaryota; Viridiplantae; Streptophyta; Magnoliopsida; Brassicales; Brassicaceae. The record is from RNAcentral.